Molecule: ribosomal RNA, 422 nt
Filed under: uncultured bacterium
Lineage: Bacteria
Description: bacterial SSU rRNA
Rfam family: Bacterial small subunit ribosomal RNA
Source: RNAcentral
UGAGGAAUAUUGGGCAAUGCCCGCAAGGGUGACCCAGCAACGCCGCGUGGAGGAUGAAUGUCGUAAGAUUGUAAACUCCUGUUAGAGGGGAAGAAUAGUACCGGUUGGACCGGUAUAUGACUGUACCCUCAGAGAAAGCCCCGGCUAACUACGUGCCCGCAGCCGCGGUAAUACGUAGGGGGCAAGCGUUGUCCGGAUUUACUGGGUGUAAAGGGCGCGCAGGCGGGAUAAAAAGUCAGUGGUGAAAUCCUACAGCUUAACUGUAGAACUGCCUUUGAUACUUUUAUUCUUGAGUUCGGGAGAGAGAGACGGAAUUCCAGGUGUAGUGGUGAAAUACGUAGAUAUCUGGAAGAACACCAGUUGCGAAGGCGGUCUCUUGGUCCGACACUGACGCUGAGGCGCGAAAGCGUGGGGAGCAAACA